UUUAACAUGAGAGUUUGAUCCUGGCUCAGGAUGAACGCUGGCGGCGUGCCUAACACAUGCAAGUCGAACGAGGUAAAUAAGAUGAAGUUUUCGGAUGGAUUCUUAUUUGCCGAGUGGCGGACGGGUGAGUAACGCGUGGGUAACCUGCCUCAUACAGGGGGAUAACGAUUGGAAACGAUUGCUAAUACCGCAUAAGCGCACAGUAUCACAUGGUACAGUGUGAAAAACUCCGGUGGUAUGAGAUGGACC
RNAcentral lists this ribosomal RNA (249 nucleotides) under Clostridium sp. AF28-12. RNAcentral's name for it is "partial 16S ribosomal RNA". It matches the Rfam family "Bacterial small subunit ribosomal RNA", at positions 1 to 231 of the family's 1533-position model. The record is from RNAcentral. Lineage: Bacteria; Bacillati; Bacillota; Clostridia; Eubacteriales; Clostridiaceae.